Molecule: ribosomal RNA, 1142 nt
Filed under: uncultured bacterium
Lineage: Bacteria
Description: bacterial SSU rRNA
Rfam family: Bacterial small subunit ribosomal RNA
Source: RNAcentral
AGCUAGUUGGUGAGGUAAUGGCUCACCAAAGCUAUGACAUCUAACUGGUUUGAGAGGAUGAUCAGUCACACUGGAACUGAGACACGGUCCAGACUCCUACGGGAGGCAGCAGUGGGGAAUAUUGCACAAUGGAGGAAACUCUGAUGCAGCAACGCCGCGUGGAGGAUGACACAUUUCGGUGCGUAAACUCCUUUUAUUUGGGAAGAUAAUGACGGUACCUAAUGAAUAAGCACCGGCUAACUCCGUGCCAGCAGCCGCGGUAAUACGGGGGGUGCAAGCGUUACUCGGAAUCACUGGGCGUAAAGAGCAUGUAGGCUGGUUUGUAAGUUGGAAGUGAAAUCCUAUGGCUUAACCAUAGAACUGCAUUUGAAACUGGGAGCCUAGAGUAUGGAAGGGGCAGAUGGAAUUAGUGGUGUAGGGGUAAAAUCCGUAGAUAUCACUAGGAAUACCGAAAGCGAAAGCGAUCUGCUGGGACAUUACUGACGCUGAGGGCGUGAAAGCGUGGGGAGCAAACGGGAUUAGAUACNCCCGGUAGUCCACGCCCGNAACGAUGAAUGCUAGUCGUCGCAAUGCUUGACAUUGCGGUGAUGCAGUUAACACAUUAAGCAUUCCGCCUGGGGAGUACGGUCGCAAGAUUAAAACUCAAAGGAAUAGACGGGGACCCGCACAAGUGGUGGAGCAUGUGGUUUAAUUCGAAGAUACACGAAGAACCUUACCUAGCCUUGACAUUGAAAGAACACUUUAGAGAUAGAGUGGUGCCCUUCGGGGAGCUUGAAAACAGGUGCUGCACGGCUGUCGUCAGCUCGUGUCGUGAGAUGUUGGGUUAAGUCCCGCAACGAGCGCAACCCUCGUCCUUAGUUGCUAGCAGUUAGGCUGAGCACUCUAAGGAGACUGCCUUCGCAAGGAGGAGGAAGGUGAGGACGACGUCAAGUCAUCAUGGCCCUUACGGCUAGGGCUACACACGUGCUACAAUGGGGCGUACAGAGAGUCGCGAUACCGCGAGGUGGAGCUAAUCUCUUAAAGCGUCUCUCAGUUCGGAUUGUUCUCUGCAACUCGAGAACAUGAAGCUGGAAUCACUAGUAAUCGCAGAUCAGCUAUGCUGCGGUGAAUACGUUCCCGGGUCUUGUACUCACCGCCCGUCA